GGANUNCUGGGCGUAAGCGCAUGCAGGUGGUUCAUUAAGUCAGAUGUGAAAGCCCGGGGCUCANCCUCGGAACCGCAUUUGAAACUGGUGAACUAGAGUGCUGUAGAGGGGGGUAGAAUUUCAGGUGUAGCGGUGAAAUGCGUAGAGAUCUGAAGGAAUACCAGUGGCGAAGGCGGCCCCCUGGACAGACACUGACACUCAGAUGCGAAAGCGUGGGGAGCAAACAGGAUUAGAUACCCUGGUAGUCCACGCCGUAAACGAUGUCUACUUGGAGGUUGUGGCCUUGAGCCGUGGCUUUCGGAGCUAACGCGUUAAGUAGACCGCCUGGGGAGUACGGUCGCAAGAUUAAAACUCAAAUGAAUUGACGGGGGCCCGCACAAGCGGUGGAGCAUGUGGUUUAAUUCGAUGCAACGCGAAGAACCUUACCUACUCUUGACAUCCACAGAAGAGACCAGAGAUGGACUUGUGCCUUCGGGAACUGUGAGACAGGUGCUGCAUGGCUGUCGUCAGCUCGUGUUGUGAAAUGUUGGGUUAAGUCCCGCAACGAGCGCAACCCUUAUCCUUGUUUGCCAGCACGUAAUGGUGGGAACUCCAGGGAGACUGCCGGUGAUAAACCGGANGAAGGUGGGGACGACGUCANGUCAUCAUGGCCCUUACGAGUAGGGCUACACACGUGCUACAAUGGCGUAUACNGAGGGCUGCNAGCUAGCGAUAGUGAGCGAAUCCCAAAAAGUACGUCGUANUCCGGAUCGGA
RNAcentral lists this ribosomal RNA (754 nucleotides) under Aliivibrio sp. R8-63. RNAcentral describes it as "bacterial SSU rRNA". It matches the Rfam family "Bacterial small subunit ribosomal RNA", at positions 547 to 1302 of the family's 1533-position model. Lineage: Bacteria; Pseudomonadati; Pseudomonadota; Gammaproteobacteria; Vibrionales; Vibrionaceae. The record is from RNAcentral.